RNAcentral lists this ribosomal RNA (800 nucleotides) under Pseudooceanicola sp. Its description in RNAcentral is "bacterial SSU rRNA". It matches the Rfam family "Bacterial small subunit ribosomal RNA", at positions 63 to 910 of the family's 1533-position model. Lineage: Bacteria; Pseudomonadati; Pseudomonadota; Alphaproteobacteria; Rhodobacterales; Paracoccaceae. The record is from RNAcentral.
CGAGCGAGACCUUCGGGUCUAGCGGCGGACGGGUGAGUAACGCGUGGGAAUGUGCCCUUCUCUACGGAAUAGUCCCGGGAAACUGGGUUUAAUACCGUAUACGCCCUUCGGGGGAAAGAUUUAUCGGAGAAGGAUCAGCCCGCGUCUGAUUAGGUAGUUGGUGGGGUAAUGGCCUACCAAGCCUACGAUCAGUAGCUGGUUUUAGAGGAUGAUCAGCCACACUGGGACUGAGACACGGCCCAGACUCCUACGGGAGGCAGCAGUGGGGAAUCUUAGACAAUGGGCGCAAGCCUGAUCUAGCCAUGCCGCGUGAGUGAUGAAGGCCUUAGGGUCGUAAAACUCUUUCGCCAGGGAUGAUAAUGACAGUACCUGGUAAAGAAGCCCCGGCUAACUCCGUGCCAGCAGCCGCGGUAAUACGGAGGGGGCUAGCGUUGUUCGGAAUUACUGGGCGUAAAGCGCGCGUAGGCGGACUAUUAAGUCAGGGGUGAAAUCCCGGGGCUCAACCCCGGAACUGCCCUUGAUACUGGUAGUCUUGAGUUCGAGAGAGGUGAGUGGAAUUCCGAGUGUAGAGGUGAAAUUCGUAGAUAUUCGGAGGAACACCAGUGGCGAAGGCGGCUCACUGGCUCGAUACUGACGCUGAGGUGCGAAAGUGUGGGGAGCAAACAGGAUUAGAUACCCUGGUAGUCCACACCGUAAACGAUGAAUGCCAGUCGUCGGCAAGCAUGCUUGUCGGUGACACACCUAACGGAUUAAGCAUUCCGCCUGGGGAGUACGGUCGCAAGAUUAAAACUCAAAGGAAA